UACAGAGGUGGCAAGCGUUGUUCGGAAUUACUGGGCGUAAAGGGCGCGCAGGCGGCAGACCAAGUCAGGCGUGAAAGCCCCGGGCUCAACCUGGGAACUGCGUUUGGGACUGGUUUGCUAGAGAUCGGGAGAGGAGAGUGGAAUUCCCAGUGUAGAGGUGAAAUUCGUAGAUAUUGGGAAGAACACCGGUGGCGAAGGCGGCUCUCUGGACCGAUACUGACGCUGAGGCGCGAAAGCGUGGGGAGCAAACAGG
Molecule: ribosomal RNA, 253 nt
Filed under: uncultured bacterium
Lineage: Bacteria
Description: partial 16S ribosomal RNA
Rfam family: Bacterial small subunit ribosomal RNA
Source: RNAcentral